AAGCAUAUCAAUAAGCGGAGGAAAAGAAACCAACAGGGAUUGCCCUAGUAACGGCGAGUGAAGCGGCAACAGCUCAAAUUUGAAAUCUGGCUUCGGCCCGAGUUGUAAUUUGUAGAGGAAACUUUUGGUGAGGCACCUUCUGAGUCCCUUGGAACAGGGCGCCAUAGAGGGUGAGAGCCCCGUAUAGUCGGAUGCCGAUCCAAUGUAAAGUUCCUUCGACGAGUCGAGUAGUUUGGGAAUGCUGCUCAAAAUGGGAGGUAAAUUUCUUCUAAAGCUAAAUAUAGGCCAGAGACCGAUAGCGCACAAGUAGAGUGAUCGAAAGAUGAAAAGCACUUUGAAAAGAGGGUUAAAUAGCACGUGAAAUUGUUGAAAGGGAAGCGUUUGUGACCAGACUUGCGCCGUUCCGAUCAUCCGGUGUUCUCACCGGUGCACUCGGGGCGGCUCAGGCCAGCAUCGGUUUUGGUGGGGGGAUAAAGGUCCAGGGAACGUAGCUCCUCCGGGAGUGUUAUAGCCCUGGGCGUAAUGCCCUCGCUGGGACCGAGGUUCGCGCAUCUGCAAGGAUGC
RNAcentral lists this ribosomal RNA (564 nucleotides) under Sordaria sp. Its description in RNAcentral is "eukaryotic LSU rRNA". It matches the Rfam family "Eukaryotic large subunit ribosomal RNA", at positions 36 to 626 of the family's 3401-position model. Lineage: Eukaryota; Fungi; Ascomycota; Sordariomycetes; Sordariales; Sordariaceae. The record is from RNAcentral.